UUAAGCGACUAAGCGUACACGGUGGAUGCCCUGGCAGUCAGAGGCGAUGAAGGACGUGCUAAUCUGCGAUAAGCGUCGGUAAGGUGAUAUGAACCGUUAUAACCGGCGAUUUCCGAAUGGGGAAACCCAGUGUGAUUCGUCACACUAUCAUUAACUGAAUCCAUAGGUUAAUGAGGCGAACCGGGGGAACUGAAACAUCUAAGUACCCCGAGGAAAAGAAAUCAACCGAGAUUCCCCCAGUAGCGGCGAGCGAACGGGGAGCAGCCCAGAGCCUGAAUCAGUGUGUGUGUUAGUGGAAGCGUCUGGAAAGGCGUGCGAUACAGGGUGACAGCCCCGUACACAAAAAUGCACAUAUUGUGAGCUCGAUGAGUAGGGCGGGACACGUGGUAUCCUGUCUGAAUAUGGGGGGACCAUCCUCCAAGGCUAAAUACUCCUGACUGACCGAUAGUGAACCAGUACCGUGAGGGAAAGGCGAAAAGAACCCCGGCGAGGGGAGUGAAAAAGAACCUGAAACCGUGUACGUACAAGCAGUGGGAGCACGCUUAGGCGUGUGACUGCGUACCUUUUGUAUAAUGGGUCAGCGACUUAUAUUCUGUAGCAAGGUUAACCGAAUAGGGGAGCCGAAGGGAAACCGAGUCUUAACUGGGCGUUAAGUUGCAGGGUAUAGACCCGAAACCCGGUGAUCUAGCCAUGGGCAGGUUGAAGGUUGGGUAACACUAACUGGAGGACCGAACCGACUAAUGUUGAAAAAUUAGCGGAUGACUUGUGGCUGGGGGUGAAAGGCCAAUCAAACCGGGAGAUAGCUGGUUCUCCCCGAAAGCUAUUUAGGUAGCGCCUCGUGAAUUCAUCUCCGGGGUAGAGCACUGUUUCGGCAAGGGGGUCAUCCCGACUUACCAACCCGAUGCAAACUGCGAAUACCGGAGAAUGUUAUCACGGGAGACACACGGCGGGUGCUAACGUCCGUCGUGAAGAGGGAAACAACCCAGACCGCCAGCUAAGGUCCCAAAGUCAUGGUUAAGUGGGAAACGAUGUGGGAAGGCCCAGACAGCCAGGAUGUUGGCUUAGAAGCAGCCAUCAUUUAAAGAAAGCGUAAUAGCUCACUGGUCGAGUCGGCCUGCGCGGAAGAUGUAACGGGGCUAAACCAUGCACCGAAGCUGCGGCAGCGACACUAUGUGUUGUUGGGUAGGGGAGCGUUCUGUAAGCCUGUGAAGGUGUACUGUGAGGUAUGCUGGAGGUAUCAGAAGUGCGAAUGCUGACAUAAGUAACGAUAAAGCGGGUGAAAAGCCCGCUCGCCGGAAGACCAAGGGUUCCUGUCCAACGUUAAUCGGGGCAGGGUGAGUCGACUCCUAAGGCGAGGCCGAAAGGCGUAGUCGAUGGGAAACAGGUUAAUAUUCCUGUACUUGGUGUUACUGCGAAGGGGGACGGAGAAGGCUAUGUUGGCCGGGCGACGGUUGUCCCGGUUUAAGCGUGUAGGCUGGUUUUCCAGGCAAAUCCGGAAAACUAAGGCUGAGGCGUGAUGACGAGGCACUACGGUGCUGAAGCAACAAAUGCCCUGCUUCCAGGAAAAGCCUCUAAGCAUCAGGUAACAUCAAAUCGUACCCCAAACCGACACAGGUGGUCAGGUAGAGAAUACCAAGGCGCUUGAGAGAACUCGGGUGAAGGAACUAGGCAAAAUGGUGCCGUAACUUCGGGAGAAGGCACGCUGAUAUGUAGGUGAAGUCCCUCGCGGAUGGAGCUGAAAUCAGUCGAAGAUACCAGCUGGCUGCAACUGUUUAUUAAAAACACAGCACUGUGCAAACACGAAAGUGGACGUAUACGGUGUGACGCCUGCCCGGUGCCGGAAGGUUAAUUGAUGGGGUCAGCGCAAGCGAAGCUCUUGAUCGAAGCCCCGGUAAACGGCGGCCGUAACUAUAACGGUCCUAAGGUAGCGAAAUUCCUUGUCGGGUAAGUUCCGACCUGCACGAAUGGCGUAAUGAUGGCCAGGCUGUCUCCACCCGAGACUCAGUGAAAUUGAACUCGCUGUGAAGAUGCAGUGUACCCGCGGCAAGACGGAAAGACCCCGUGAACCUUUACUAUAGCUUGACACUGAACAUUGAGCCUUGAUGUGUAGGAUAGGUGGGAGGCUUUGAAGUGUGGACGCCAGUCUGCAUGGAGCCGACCUUGAAAUACCACCCUUUAAUGUUUGAUGUUCUAACGUUGACCCGUAAUCCGGGUUGCGGACAGUGUCUGGUGGGUAGUUUGACUGGGGCGGUCUCCUCCUAAAGAGUAACGGAGGAGCACGAAGGUUGGCUAAUCCUGGUCGGACAUCAGGAGGUUAGUGCAAUGGCAUAAGCCAGCUUGACUGCGAGCGUGACGGCGCGAGCAGGUGCGAAAGCAGGUCAUAGUGAUCCGGUGGUUCUGAAUGGAAGGGCCAUCGCUCAACGGAUAAAAGGUACUCCGGGGAUAACAGGCUGAUACCGCCCAAGAGUUCAUAUCGACGGCGGUGUUUGGCACCUCGAUGUCGGCUCAUCACAUCCUGGGGCUGAAGUAGGUCCCAAGGGUAUGGCUGUUCGCCAUUUAAAGUGGUACGCGAGCUGGGUUUAGAACGUCGUGAGACAGUUCGGUCCCUAUCUGCCGUGGGCGCUGGAGAACUGAGGGGGCUGCUCCUAGUACGAGAGGACCGGAGUGGACGCAUCACUGGUGUUCGGGUUGUCAUGCCAAUGGCACUGCCCGGUAGCUAAAUGCGGAAGAGAUAAGUGCUGAAAGCAUCUAAGCACGAAACUUGCCCCGAGAUGAGUUCUCCCUGACUCCUUGAGAGUCCUGAAGGAACGUUGAAGACGACGACGUUGAUAGGCCGGGUGUGUAAGCGCAGCGAUGCGUUGAGCUAACCGGUACUAAUGAACCGUGAGGCUUAACCUU
Molecule: ribosomal RNA, 2898 nt
Filed under: Shigella dysenteriae
Lineage: Bacteria; Pseudomonadati; Pseudomonadota; Gammaproteobacteria; Enterobacterales; Enterobacteriaceae
Description: bacterial LSU rRNA
Rfam family: Bacterial large subunit ribosomal RNA
Source: RNAcentral